This is a non-coding RNA of Camelina sativa (false flax), 1033 nucleotides long. Lineage: Eukaryota; Viridiplantae; Streptophyta; Magnoliopsida; Brassicales; Brassicaceae. The record is from RefSeq and is a predicted model, not a curated record.
AAAAUAAUAUUCUAUCAACAAAAUUAAGUUGAUAUCGUAUCUCAACUUCCCCAUUUCACGAGUCCAUGAUCCUCCAUCUUCUCUCACCCACGAUCUCUUUUCAAGAAAUCUUUGUCUCCAUAUAUGUUCGACAUCGUUGCGUCUGAGUUGGUGGUGUAAGAAAAGUAUCCUGCCCCAUUUUAGAUUUUUCUAGGUUCACAAAAACUUUCAGAUUUUCCUCCUCUUUUAUCUUUUUUGAAUCAUUUGACCUCAUCGUUGUAUUUAUUCUCAUCUAACUUGAGUCGUUUUAAGUCUUCUUAAUUUUGUUUAGAUAUCUCAGAGGAGCAAAAUGGAUUCAAGGAUCCUCCAUGGAAAAUGGGAUGGAGUUGCAAGAGUGAAAUUGACCUUUUUUAUUGCGCUCUACAUCUUGGAUUUGUAAGGACACACAUGAAGACGUACGCAGCAUAUGUAAAGAACAAGAUAAAUUCAAAGAUGGAGAAAUGGAUCAUUAGAGAGGUUGAGGAAACAAUAUAAAGCAAUAAAGAAAUAGUAUGACUUGAAGUAGGAGAAUCAUUCAGAAGGGAAUUCAGAUAUUCCAAUAAGCAGCAACACAAUUUCAAAGUUGUAGUCAUUCAGUAGACACCAAUAACGAUACAUUCUCUCACCAUAGACUCCCAAGUCGUGCUUCAUCAUCUAAUUCACCAAACGCAUUUGAGCAGUUCUGAUUUCUGAAGAAUACGUAUGACCAAUUGACCAUGGUGAUGCAACAAAUAUAUAUAUAUAUAUAUAUAUAUAUGAGUAUUGCAAUGCUUUCAUGUGGUAUGAUGAACGUGUUGGCAAAAGAUGCAGAUGACCACAUCUGAUAAAACUUAACGAAGCUUACUCUGCUACUUUAUCGCUUCCGUUUUCAAUCAGUGACUUCAAACUCCCUCUCAUCUCACAGUAUCGAUAAUUCAUCCCUAUGUCUUUUGUUUGCAUGUAAUCUUUAUAGUAUCUGAUAAAGAGUUAUGAAAGAUACGAUACAUGUUCUCUUACAUUGUAUUCUCCAAUUAUU